UAAAGCCCUUUCAGUGGGAAGAUAAUGACGGUACCCACAGAAGAAGCUCCGGCUAACUCCGUGCCAGCAGCCGCGGUAAUACGGAGGGGGCGAGCGUUGUUCGGAAUUACUGGGCGUAAAGGGCGCGUAGGCGGUUUCACAAGUCCAGGAGUGAAAAUUUCGGGCCUAACCCGGGCGCUGCUUUUGAAACUGUGGGACUAGAGACAGGCAGAGGGUGGUGGAAUUCCCCGUGUAGAGGUGAAAUUCGUAGAUAUGGGGAGGAAGACC
Molecule: ribosomal RNA, 267 nt
Filed under: magnetic coccus MP17
Lineage: Bacteria; Pseudomonadati; Pseudomonadota; Alphaproteobacteria
Description: partial 16S rRNA
Rfam family: Bacterial small subunit ribosomal RNA
Source: RNAcentral